This 501-nucleotide ribosomal RNA is filed under the name uncultured bacterium. Its description in RNAcentral is "partial 16S ribosomal RNA". It matches the Rfam family "Bacterial small subunit ribosomal RNA", at positions 30 to 523 of the family's 1533-position model. The record is from RNAcentral.
AUUGAACGCUGGCGGCAUGCCUUACACAUGCAAGUCGAACGGCAGCACGGGUGCUUGCACCUGGUGGCGAGUGGCGAACGGGUGAGUAAUAUAUCGGAACGUACCUUAUUGUGGGGGAUAACGCAGCGAAAGCUGUGCUAAUACCGCAUAAUCCCUAAGGGGGAAAGCGGGGGACCGUAAGGCCUCGCGCAAUUAGAGCGGCCGAUACCUGAUUAGCUAGUUGGGGAGGUAAAGGCUAACCAAGGCAACGAACAGUAGCUGGUCUGAGAGGACGAUCAGCCACACUGGGACUGAGACACGGCCCAGACUCCUACGGGAGGCAGCAGUGGGGAAUUUUGGACAAUGGGGGCAACCCUGAUCCAGCAAUGCCGCGUGAGUGAAGAAGGCCUUCGGGUUGUAAAGCUCUUUUGUCAGGGAAGAAACAGCAGCUCUAACACAGUUUGCGAAUGACGGUACCUGAAGAAUAAGCACCGGCUAACUACGUGCCAGCCGCCGCCGUAA